CCUACGGGAGGCUGCAGUGGGGAAUAUUGCACAAUGGGGGAAACCCUGAUGCAGCAACGCCGCGUGAGUGAGGAAGUAUUUCGGUAUGUAAAGCUCUAUCAGCAGGGAAGAAAAUGACGGUACCUGAGUAAGAAGCCCCGGCUAACUACGUGCCAGCAGCCGCGGUAAUACGUAGGGGGCAAGCGUUAUCCGGAUUUACUGGGUGUAAAGGGAGCGUAGACGGCAGUGCAAGUCUGGAGUGAAAGGCGGGGGCUCAACCCCCGGACUGCUCUGGAAACUGUACGGCUGGAGUGCAGGAGAGGUAAGUGGAAUUCCUAGUGUAGCGGUGAAAUGCGUAGAUAUUAGGAGGAACACCAGUGGCGAAGGCGGCUUACUGGACUGUAACUGACGUUGAGGCUCGAAAGCGUGGGGAGCAAACAGGAUUAGAUACCCGAGUAGUC
Molecule: ribosomal RNA, 440 nt
Filed under: uncultured bacterium
Lineage: Bacteria
Description: partial 16S ribosomal RNA
Rfam family: Bacterial small subunit ribosomal RNA
Source: RNAcentral